Molecule: unclassified non-coding RNA, 333 nt
Filed under: soil metagenome
Description: partial contains 5.8S ribosomal RNA, internal transcribed spacer 2, and large subunit ribosomal RNA
Rfam family: 5.8S ribosomal RNA (bases 1-120)
Source: RNAcentral
GAUGAAGAACGCAGCGAAAUGCGAUAAGUAAUGUGAAUUGCAGAAUUCAGUGAAUCAUCGAAUCUUUGAACGCACAUUGCGCCCGCCAGUAUUCUGGCGGGCAUGCCUGCCCGAGCGUCAUUUCAACCAUCAAGCCCCGGGCUUGUGUUGGGGACCUGCGUCCGACGCAGGCCCCGAAAACCAGUGGCGGGCUCGCUGUCCACACCGAGCGUAGUAGCUAACCUCGCUCCGGAGUGGCGCGGGCGCCUGCCGUAAAACCCCCCAAUUUUACAAGGUUGACCUCGGAUCAGGUAGGAAUACCCGCUGAACUUAAGCAUAUCAAUAAGCGGAGGA